GAUGAACGCUGGCGGCGUGCCUAAUACAUGCAAGUCGAGCGAACAGACGAGGAGCUUGCUCCUCUGACGUUAGCGGCGGACGGGUGAGUAACACGUGGAUAACCUACCUAUAAGACUGGGAUAACUUCGGGAAACCGGAUCUAAUACCGGAUAAUAUAUUGAACCGCAUGGUUCAAUAGUGAAAGACGGUUUUGCUGUCACUUAUAGAUGGAUCCGCGCCGCAUUAGCUAGUUGGUAAGGUAACGGCUUACCAAGGCAACGAUGCGUAGCCGACCUGAGAGGGUGAUCGGCCACACUGGAACUGAGACACGGUCCAGACUCCUACGGGAGGCAGCAGUAGGGAAUCUUCCGCAAUGGGCGAAAGCUUGACGGAGCCACGCCGCGUGAGUGAUGAAGGUCUUCGGAUCGUAAAGCUCUGUUAUUAGGGAAGAACAAAUGUGUAAGUAACUAUGCACGUCUUGACGGUACCUGAUCAAAAAGCCACGGCUAACUACGUG
This 497-nucleotide ribosomal RNA is filed under the name uncultured bacterium. RNAcentral's name for it is "partial 16S ribosomal RNA". It matches the Rfam family "Bacterial small subunit ribosomal RNA", at positions 28 to 507 of the family's 1533-position model. The record is from RNAcentral.